This 468-nucleotide ribosomal RNA is filed under the name uncultured bacterium. RNAcentral describes it as "partial 16S ribosomal RNA". It matches the Rfam family "Bacterial small subunit ribosomal RNA", at positions 28 to 507 of the family's 1533-position model. The record is from RNAcentral.
GACGAACGCUGGCGGCGUGCUUAACACAUGCAAGUCGAACGGAAACUCCCUGCUUUUUUGGGGUGCUCGAGUGGCGAACGGGUGAGUAACACGUGAGUAACCUGCCCCUGACUGUGGGAUAACUUCAGGAAACUUGGGCUAAUACCGGAUAGGAGCUCCUGCUGCAUGGUGGGGGUUGGAAAGUUUCGGCGGUUGGUGAUGGACUCGCGGCUUAUCAGCUUGUUGGUGGGGUAGUGGCUUACCAAGGCUUUGCCGGGUAGCCGACCUGAGAGGGUGACCGGCGACAUUGCGACUGAGAUACGGCCCAGACUGGUAUGGGAGGCAGCAGUGGGGAGGAUUGCACAAGGGGCGGGAGCCUGGUGCGGCAACGCCGCGUGCGGGAAGUCGGCAUUGGGGUUGGAAACCGAUUUCGCCUGAGACGAAGCGUGAGUGACGGUACUGGGAGAAGAAGCACCGGCUAACUACGUG